This 530-nucleotide ribosomal RNA is filed under the name uncultured bacterium. RNAcentral's name for it is "bacterial SSU rRNA". It matches the Rfam family "Bacterial small subunit ribosomal RNA", at positions 355 to 896 of the family's 1533-position model. The record is from RNAcentral.
UGGCGAAUAUUGCACAAUGGGCGGAAGCCUGAGGCAGCGACGCCGCGUGGGUGAUGAAGGCUUUCGGGUGGUGAACUCCUUUCGACAGGGACGAAGCGUAAGUGACGGUACCUGCAUAAGAAGCACCGGCUAACUACGUGCCAGCAGCCGCGGUAAUACGUAGGGUGCCAGCGUUUUCUGGAAUUACUGGGCGUAAAGAGCUCGUAGGUGGUUUGUCGAAUUGUGUGUGAAAUUCCGGGGGUUAACUCCGGGCGUGCCGGUGAUACGGGCCGGCUUGAGUUCUGUAGGGGAGGCUGGAAUUCCCGGGGUAGCGGUGAAAUGCGCAGAUAUUAGGAGGAAUUCCGAUGGCGAAGGCAGGUCUCUGGGCAGUAGCUGGCGGUGAGGAGCGAAAGCAUGGGUAGCGAACCGGAUUAGAUUCCCUGGUAGUUCCUCCCGUAAACGGUGGGCGAUAGGGGUAGGGGGCUUCCGCGUCUUGUGUUCCGUAGCUAACGCAUUAAGUCCCCCGCCUGGGGAGUACGGCCGCAAGGCUA